GUUCCACUUCCUUGCUCUCUUCCACAUCUCCAGCAACAACCCCUGACCCUGACACAUUCACCUCACUCUCUUCCACAUCUCCAACGACAGCAACCCCUGGCGCAGACACAUUCACUUCACUCUCGUCCACAUCUCCAACAACAGCAACCCCUGGCGCUGCCACAUUCACUUUACUCUCUUCCACAUCUCCAACAACAGCAACCCCUGGCGCAGACACAUUGACAUUGACAUCAAUAGCAUCCACAACUGCAUCUCCAUCCGGAGUAAAUUUCUCACCAUCUGCUCCAACCAACAAAGACUCCGACGGUUCAACAACCUCCUUAUUGGGUUUUGCGGCAUCAUCACUAGGAAUAGCACUCUCUUCC
This 365-nucleotide long non-coding RNA is filed under the name Nicotiana tabacum (common tobacco). Its description in RNAcentral is "long non-coding RNA (NTAB_LNC002809)". The record is from RNAcentral. Lineage: Eukaryota; Viridiplantae; Streptophyta; Magnoliopsida; Solanales; Solanaceae.